AUAGAGGACCUUACAUCCCGGAAUUCAAAGGAAAGAUCCAUCUGACAUUAUGAGAUACUUCAAUUAUAUCUGCUUUGCCAUUUUGCUGUUUUUGGAUGGUGUGUCUGCCACUAUUACUUUGACCCAGCCUCCUGAAGCAUUGGUACUUCCAGGAAGAUCCAUUACUCUGACUUGCACAGUGUCAGGAUAUAAUAUCAACAACCACCAUCUUAGCUGGGUUCGUCAAUCUAAUGGCACAGAGCUUGUCUUUAUCACAUCCUUCAGGACUGGAUAUACCACAUACACCGCCGAUGAAUUUAAGGGCCGUGUUACCCCUUCCACCAGCGGUUCGACAGCACAGCUAAAGAUAGAUGCUCUAAAAGUAGAAGAUACUGCCAUCUACUACUGCGCAAGAUACACAAUGACUUAA
Pantherophis guttatus is the source of this 409-nucleotide non-coding RNA. NCBI's taxonomy places the organism in Eukaryota, Metazoa, Chordata, Lepidosauria, Squamata, Colubridae. The record is from the annotation of a RefSeq genome assembly.